AAUCUACUGCAGAGUUCGUCACAAACGAAUGAGUGAUUGAGCCAACACCCAUUGAAAGGGAGACUGAUGUUAUGUUCUGUGCGAUCUCCAUAGCUUGGGAUUGCUAAUGAACAUAGCUUUGACGCAUCUCAAAGAUGCGGAAGGUCACCCACCUGUUGAGAGACAGGUUCAAAUCACCAGUUUGGACGGCUCAUGUGGUUUUUUC
RNAcentral lists this non-coding RNA (205 nucleotides) under Blastocatellia bacterium. Its description in RNAcentral is "6S RNA". It matches the Rfam family "6S / SsrS RNA". From Rfam's summary of the family: E. coli 6S RNA was the first non coding RNA to be sequenced, but its function was unknown until recently. It consists of 184 nucleotides that fold into an extended hairpin structure with a large single-stranded internal bulge. The 6S RNA specifically associates with RNA polymerase holoenzyme containing the sigma70 specificity factor. Lineage: Bacteria; Pseudomonadati; Acidobacteriota; Blastocatellia. The record is from RNAcentral.